UCUUCCACAGUAGUGCGAUGUCUUUGCAGUAGAUCUUCCCACAUUCUCAAUUGGCCUCAAUUUUAUUCAAUGAGAUUAUCUAAACCUAUAUAAGAUGAGUAUCAGAUUUCUUUUGCUACCUUAGAAAUUUCUCUUUUCUCUAAAAAUGCACUGGUUCUUUCCUUGCGGCACUUCAUUCUGCAACAUGUCACAGGUGUAUACCAUGAAAUUGACAACGAUCUACUACUCACUCCAAGGAAGGCACAUGUUGAUCGACUCUGUACAACUUUUACAAAACAUUGCUUUCAUUCAACAACAAUUUCUUGAUAUGUAUGCGGGUGUAAGAAGGAGGCUAUAGUUUAAAAAAAAAGGUGGCAAGAACUUUAAGAUGUGAAACAUUUGCAAUCAUAGCCGAUAUUGCUCAAAUCCACAUUUAAAUUAGGUGUUGUUGAUAUUUAAAAAAAGGAAUUAUUAUCAAA
Molecule: long non-coding RNA, 458 nt
Organism: Lycium barbarum (goji berry)
Lineage: Eukaryota; Viridiplantae; Streptophyta; Magnoliopsida; Solanales; Solanaceae
Exons: 2
Source: RefSeq, a predicted model, not a curated record